GUACACUCCUGCGGGAGGCAGCAGUGGGGAAUAUUGGACAAUGGGCGCAAGCCUGAUCCAGCCAUGCCGCGUGAGUGAUGAAGGCCCUAGGGUUGUAAAGCUCUUUCACCGGUGAAGAUAAUGACGGUAACCGGAGAAGAAGCCCCGACUAACUUCGUGCCAGCAGCCGCGGUAAUACGAAGGGGGCUAGCGUUGUUCGGAUUUACUGGGCGUAAAGCGCACGUAGGCGGACUAUUAAGUCAGGGGUGAAAUCCCGGGGCUCAACCCCGGAACUGCCUUUGAUACUGGUAGUCUUGAGUUCGAGAGAGGUGAGUGGAAUUCCGAGUGUAGAGGUGAAAUUCGUAGAUAUUCGGAGGAACACCAGUGGCGAAGGCGGCUCACUGGCUCGAUACUGACGCUGAGGUGCGAAAGCGUGGGGAGCAAACAGGAUUAGAAACCCUAGUAGUCCCAUG
Molecule: ribosomal RNA, 452 nt
Filed under: uncultured organism
Description: partial 16S ribosomal RNA
Rfam family: Bacterial small subunit ribosomal RNA
Source: RNAcentral